GACGAACGCUGGCGGCGUGCUUAACACAUGCAAGUCGAACGAUGAAGCUGGAGCUUGCUCCGGUGGAUUAGUGGCGAACGGGUGAGUAACACGUGAGCAAUCUGCCCUUGACUCUGGGAUAACUGCGGGAAACUGUAGCUAAUACCGGAUACGAGGCUCGAAGGCAUCUUCGGGUCUGGAAAGAAUUUCGGUCAAGGAUGAGCUCGCGGCCUAUCAGCUUGUUGGUGAGGUAAUGGCUCACCAAGGCGACGACGGGUAGCCGGCCUGAGAGGGUGACCGGCCACACUGGGACUGCGACAAGGCCCAGACUCCUACGGGAGGCAGCAGUGGGGAAUAUUGCACAAUGGGCGAAAGCCUGAUGCAGCAACGUCGCGUGAGGGAUGAAGGCCUUCGGGUUGUAAACCUCUUUUAGCAGGGAAGAAGAGAAAGUGACGGUACCUGCAGAAAAAGCACCGGCUAACUACGUGCCAGCCGCCGCCGUAA
RNAcentral lists this ribosomal RNA (483 nucleotides) under uncultured bacterium. Its description in RNAcentral is "partial 16S ribosomal RNA". It matches the Rfam family "Bacterial small subunit ribosomal RNA", at positions 28 to 523 of the family's 1533-position model. The record is from RNAcentral.